Molecule: long non-coding RNA, 301 nt
Organism: Zophobas morio
Lineage: Eukaryota; Metazoa; Arthropoda; Insecta; Coleoptera; Tenebrionidae
Exons: 2
Source: RefSeq, a predicted model, not a curated record
ACAUAAGAAAAUGAAAUAAUUUUUCAGGUUACAUUUUCCCAAACAAACAUCUGUGAGACACGUGAGUGUGCAACAUGUGGCCGAAAAGGACGUGGUGUGGUACGAAUGCCGCCAGUGCCCAUAUAAAGCUAAACGGGUGUCUUAUUUAAAAAAUCACGUACGAAUACGACAUCUGGACGACCACGAUGUUAAAUGGUAUGGAUGCGACCAGUGCCCGUAUAAAGCUAAAGAAAAAGCGUAUUUGAAAAAGCACAUAAACGCUCAUCACUUCAACAAAAAAUAAAACUAUUUUUUUAACGAU